UACGAAGGGGGCUAGCGUUGUUCGGAAUUACUGGGCGUAAAGCGCACGUAGGCGGGUCGUUAAGUCAGGGGUGAAAUCCCGGAGCUCAACUCCGGAACUGCCUUUGAUACUGGCGAUCUUGAGAUCGGAAGAGGUGAGUGGAAUUCCCAGUGUAGAGGUGAAAUUCGUAGAUAUUGGGAAGAACACCAGUGGCGAAGGCGGCUCACUGGUCCGAUACUGACGCUGAGGUGCGAAAGCGUGGGGAG
Molecule: ribosomal RNA, 245 nt
Filed under: uncultured bacterium
Lineage: Bacteria
Description: partial 16S ribosomal RNA
Rfam family: Bacterial small subunit ribosomal RNA
Source: RNAcentral